This is a long non-coding RNA of Callithrix jacchus (white-tufted-ear marmoset), 246 nucleotides long. RefSeq lists it as uncharacterized. NCBI's taxonomy places the organism in Eukaryota, Metazoa, Chordata, Mammalia, Primates, Cebidae. The record is from RefSeq and is a predicted model, not a curated record.
GGCAAGGGCAGCCUGGAGAAGCGGCUAAAGGCCCCCUGGGCCUGUACCAAGGUUAGGAAAAAGAAGUUCGGACUUCUGUGAAUUACUCCAAGUUACACAAGAGUUUCGCUCUGUCACCAGGUGCCAGGCUGGAGUGCAGUGGCACAAUCUCAGCUCACUGAAACUUCCACCUCCCAGGUUCAAGCAAUCCUCCUGCCCCAGUCUCCCUAAUAGCUGGAACAACAGGUACGUGCCACCAUGCCCAGC